Molecule: ribosomal RNA, 492 nt
Filed under: uncultured bacterium
Lineage: Bacteria
Description: partial 16S ribosomal RNA
Rfam family: Bacterial small subunit ribosomal RNA (bases 20-336)
Source: RNAcentral
AGUGAACGCUGGCGGUAGGCCUAACACAUGCAAGUCGAACGGCAGCACAGUAAGAGCUUGCUCUUACGGGUGGCGAGUGGCGGACGGGUGAGGAAUACAUCGGAAUCUACUUUUUCGUGGGGGAUAACGUAGGGAAACUUACGCUAAUACCGCAUACGACCUACGGGUGAAAGCAGGGGAUCUUCGGACCUUGCGCGAUUGAAUGAGCCGAUGUCGGAUUAGCUAGUUGGCGGGGUAAAGGCCCACCAAGGCGACGAUCCGUAGCUGGUCUGAGAGGAUGAGAGGCCACAGUGGAAAUGAGACAAGGGCAAGAGGCAGACGGGAGGCAGGAGGAGGGAAGAGGGCAAAAGGGGAGAAAGCAGGAAGGAGCAAGGAAGAGGGAGUGAAGAAGGGAUGCGGAUCGUAAAACGCUGUUAGUGGGGAAGAACAAAAGGGAAAGUAAAUAGGCAGGGCUGGAAGGGACAUAAUCAGAAAGAAAGGGCGAAAUACGUG